CCCUUAGAUGAUCUGGGCUGCACGCGCGCUACACUGGUACGUGAAGCGAGCGCGUCGUGGCCCGAUAGGGUUGGGAAAUCUUGUGAAUGCGUACCGUGACAGGGAUAGACUAUUGGAAUUAUUGGUCUUGAACGAGGAAUUCCUAGUAAGCGCGGGUCAUCAACUCGCGCUGAUUACGUCCCUGCCCUUUGUACACACCGCCCGUCGCUCCCUCCGAUUGGGUGUUGAGGUGAAUAGUUCGGAUGUGCGCUCGCAAGAGUGUGCAGAAGUUCCGUAAACCUUAACACUUAGAGGAAGGAGAAGUCGUAACA
Molecule: ribosomal RNA, 311 nt
Filed under: uncultured eukaryote
Lineage: Eukaryota
Description: partial 18S ribosomal RNA
Rfam family: Eukaryotic small subunit ribosomal RNA
Source: RNAcentral